Schistosoma curassoni is the source of this 45-nucleotide non-coding RNA. The record is from Rfam. Lineage: Eukaryota; Metazoa; Platyhelminthes; Trematoda; Strigeidida; Schistosomatidae.
AUCCAGCUGACGAAUCCCAAAUAGGACGAAACGCAGGUUCUGGAU